AAGUCGUAAUAAGGUCUCCGUUGGUGAACUAGCGGAGGGAUUAUUACCGAGUACUAUAACUCAUAACCCUUUGUGAACCUUCAUACCUGUUGCUUUGGCGGCGCGCCUCUCGGGGCGUGCCUGCCGGCAUUAUCAGAAUCUCUGUUCGAACCCGAUGAUACUUCUGAGUGUUCUAAGCGAACUGUUAAAACUUUUAAUAAUGGAUCUCUUGGCUCUA
This 217-nucleotide unclassified non-coding RNA is filed under the name fungal sp. RNAcentral's name for it is "partial internal transcribed spacer region". The record is from RNAcentral. Lineage: Eukaryota; Fungi.